GGGCCCGCACAAGCGGUGGAGCAUGUGGUUUAAUUCGAUGCAACGCGAAGAACCUUACCAGGGCUUGACAUACUACGAAUUUUCUUGAAAGAGAAAAGUGCCUUCGGGAAUGUAGAUACAGGUGGUGCAUGGCUGUCGUCAGCUCGUGUCGUGAGAUGUUGGGUUAAGUCCCGCAACGAGCGCAACCCUUGUCAUUAGUUGCUACAUUUAGUUGAGCACUCUAAUGAGACUGCCGGUGACAAACCGGAGGAAGGUGGGGAUGACGUCAAGUCCUCAUGGCCCUUAUGGGUAGGGCUUCACACGUCAUACAAUGGUCGGUACAGAGGGUUGCCAAGCCGCGAGGUGGAGCCAAUCCCGGAAAACCGAUCGUAGUCCGGAUCGUAGUCUGCAACUCGACUACGUG
Molecule: ribosomal RNA, 403 nt
Filed under: uncultured bacterium
Lineage: Bacteria
Description: bacterial SSU rRNA
Rfam family: Bacterial small subunit ribosomal RNA
Source: RNAcentral